UGAGCUGAGGGGUGACGGCGAGCCGAAAGGUGGAAGUGAUUGAGCCCAUGCUAUCAAGAAAAGCCUCUAGGGAGACUUAUUGUAACCGUACCGCAAACCGACACAGGUAGAUGGGUAGAGAAUACCAAGGGGAACGGGAGAAUCUUCGUUAAGGAAUUAGGCAAACUAGAUCCGUAACUUCGGGAAAAGGAUCGCCUGAGUAGAGUGAGAAUAAUUUACUUAUUCGAGCUUGAAAGGGCCGCAGAGAAAUGGCUCUAUCGACUGGUUACCACAACCACAGGUCUGUGCAAAGUCGCAAGACGCAGUAUACAGGCUGACGCCUGCCCAGUGCCGGAAGGUUAAGGGGAGAGGUGCAAGCUUUGAACCGAAGCCCCGGUGAACGGCGGCCGUAACUAUAACGGUCCUAAGGUAGCGAAAUUCCUUGUCGGGUAAGUUCCGACCCGCACGAAAGGCGCAACGAAUGGAGCACUGUCUCAACGAAGAGCCCGGUGAAACUGAAUUAGGAGUGAAGAUGCUUCUUACCCGCAGC
This 529-nucleotide ribosomal RNA is filed under the name uncultured bacterium. Its description in RNAcentral is "bacterial LSU rRNA". It matches the Rfam family "Bacterial large subunit ribosomal RNA", at positions 1552 to 2076 of the family's 2925-position model. The record is from RNAcentral.